This 520-nucleotide ribosomal RNA is filed under the name uncultured Entrophospora. Its description in RNAcentral is "SSU rRNA". It matches the Rfam family "Eukaryotic small subunit ribosomal RNA", at positions 569 to 1084 of the family's 1831-position model. The record is from RNAcentral. Lineage: Eukaryota; Fungi; Glomeromycota; Glomeromycetes; Entrophosporales; Entrophosporaceae.
AGCAGCCGCGGUAAUUCCAGCUCCAAUAGCGUAUAUUAAAGUUGUUGCAGUUAAAAAGCUCGUAGUUGAAUUUCGGGAUUGGCGCAUCGGUCGUGCCUCACGGGGUAUGAACUGGUGCAGUCAAUUUCUCACCUUCUGGAGAACCGCGAUGUCCUUAAUUGGAUGCCGCGGGGAACCAGGACCUUUACUUUGAAAAAAUUAGAGUGUUUAAAGCAGGCAUUUUUGCUUGAAUACAUUAGCAUGGAAUAAUAAAAUAGGACGGCAUGGUCUAUUUUGUUGGUUUCUAGGACCACCGUAAUGAUUAAUAGGGAUAGUUGGGGGCAUUAGUAUUCAAUUGUCAGAGGUGAAAUUCUUGGAUUUAUUGAAGACUAACUACUGCGAAAGCAUUUGCCAAGGAUGUUUUCAUUAAUCAAGAACGAAAGUUAGGGGAUCGAAGACGAUCAGAUACCGUCGUAGUCUUAACCAUAAACUAUGCCGACUAGGAAUCAGACGAUGUUAAUUUUUUAAUGACUCGUUUGGC